AUAGUUUGAUGCUGGCUCAGAACGAACGCUGGCGGCGUGGCUAAGACAUGCAAGUCGAACGGACCAUUAAUUUAUUAGUGGUUAGUGGCGAAAGGGUUAGUAACGGGUAGGUAACGUACCCUGUGCUUUGGGAUAGCGUCAGUAACUUCGGUUACUUUCCGAAAGGGGCGGUAAUACCAAAUAAUAUCAUUUGUUGAUAGGCAUUUGAUCAAAGAUUUAUCGGCGCGGGAGCGGCCUGCCUCCUAUCAGCUUGUUGGUGAGGUAAUGGCUCACCAAGGCAUCGACGGGUAGCGGGACUGAGAGGUUGGCCCGCAACAUCGGGACUGAGACACUGCCCGGACCUCCACGGAGGGCUGCAGUAACGAAUAUUGUGCAAUGGGCGAAAGCCUGACACAGCGACGCCGCGUGUAGGAGGAAGUCCUUCGGGAUGUAAACUACUGUCAGGGGGAAGAAAGUAUACUUCGGUAUAUUGAUCUAACCCAGAGGAAGUCACGGCUAACUUCGUGCCAGCAGCCGCGGUAAGACGAAGGUGGCAAGCGUUGUUCGGUAUUACUGGGCUUAAAGCGUGUGUAGGCGGAAAAUUAAGCGUUGUGUGAAAUCCCCCGGCUUAACCGGGGAACUGCAUAACGAACUGGUUUUCUUGAGGCAAGUAGGGGUGCAUGGAACUCUUGGUGGAGCGGUGGAAUGCGUAGAUAUCAAGAGGAACGCCAGCGGAGAAAUCGGUGCACUGGGCUUGUCCUG
RNAcentral lists this ribosomal RNA (741 nucleotides) under uncultured Planctomycetia bacterium. RNAcentral's name for it is "bacterial SSU rRNA". It matches the Rfam family "Bacterial small subunit ribosomal RNA", at positions 8 to 742 of the family's 1533-position model. Lineage: Bacteria; Pseudomonadati; Planctomycetota; Planctomycetia. The record is from RNAcentral.